This 71-nucleotide transfer RNA is filed under the name Schistosoma mansoni. Lineage: Eukaryota; Metazoa; Platyhelminthes; Trematoda; Strigeidida; Schistosomatidae. The record is from RNAcentral.
GGCCUAGCGGUCUAGGGGUAUGAUACUCGCUUUAAGUGCGAGUGGUCUCGGGUUCGAACCGCAGCUGGGAU